RNAcentral lists this non-coding RNA (592 nucleotides) under Stegodyphus mimosarum. Its description in RNAcentral is "Eukaryotic small subunit ribosomal RNA". It matches the Rfam family "Eukaryotic small subunit ribosomal RNA", at positions 169 to 598 of the family's 1831-position model. The record is from Rfam by way of RNAcentral. Lineage: Eukaryota; Metazoa; Arthropoda; Arachnida; Araneae; Eresidae.
GCCUGUGUAAAUGAACUUUUACAUUAUUUAUACUUUAUUUUUUUCUUAUAUUUAUUAUUUUAUACUUUAUUUUUUUCUUCUUAUUUUUUUCUUGGUCUGUGUAAAUGAUCAAAUUUCGACCUUCAAUCAUGCGUCAAAAUCAUUUCACUGCAGUAUAUAUUGCUAAAAGUUUUCAUUUGUAUGUGGAGCAGAGCUUCGUCCCUCUGGGGAUAAGCACUUUUAGUAUGGUGACUCUGUAUAACUUUGUACAGAUCACAUGUGUUCAUACUAGGAACAUGUCUUUCAAGUGUCUGGCUUAUCAACUGUCGAUGGUAGGUUAUGUGCUUACAAUAGUCGCAGUGGGUGAUUGAUUGGGAAUCAGGGUUCGUUUCUGGAAAAGGAGUCUAAGAAACAUCUACCACAUCCAAGAGAGGCAGCAAAUGCGCAAAUUACCUACUCUUAGAAGGGGAGGUAGUGAUGAAAAAUAACAAUAUGGGAUUCUUUUGAGAUCCCAUAACUGGAUCCCUUAACAUAACACUCCAAAUCUUUUAAUGAGGAUCAACCAGAGGGCAAGUUUGAUGCCAGCAGCCACGUUAAUUCCAGCUUCAAUAGC